Molecule: ribosomal RNA, 273 nt
Filed under: uncultured bacterium
Lineage: Bacteria
Description: partial 16S ribosomal RNA
Rfam family: Bacterial small subunit ribosomal RNA
Source: RNAcentral
UACGGAGGGUGCAAGCAUUGAUCGGAAUUACUGGGCGUAAAGGGCGCGUAGGCGGUUUGAUAAGUCAGAUGUGAAAUUCCGGGGCUCAACCCCGGAGCUGCAUUUGAAACUGUCGAGCUAGAGUUCAGUUAGGGUAAACGGAAUUCCACGUGUAGCGGUGAAAUGCGUAGAUAUGUGGAAGAACACCGGUGGUGAAGACGGUUUACUGGGCUGAUACUGACGCUGAGGCGCGAAAGCAUGGGGAGCAAACAGGAUUAGAUACCCCGGUAGUCC